UAGAGUUUGAUCACGGCUCAGAUUGAACGCUGGCGGCAGGCCUAACACAUGCAAGUCGAACGGUAGCACAGAGAGCUUGCUCUCGGGUGACGAGUGGCGGACGGGUGAGUAAUGUCUGGGAAACUGCCCGAUGGAGGGGGAUAACUACUGGAAACGGUAGCUAAUACCGCAUAACGUCGCAAGACCAAAGUGGGGGACCUUCGGGCCUCACACCAUCGGAUGUGCCCAGAUGGGAUUAGCUAGUAGGUGGGGUAACGGCUCACCUAGGCGACGAUCCCUAGCUGGUCUGAGAGGAUGACCAGCCACACUGGAACUGAGACACGGUCCAGACUCCUACGGGAGGCAGCAGUGGGGAAUAUUGCACAAUGGGCGCAAGCCUGAUGCAGCCAUGCCGCGUGUAUGAAGAAGGCCUUCGGGUUGUAAAGUACUUUCAGCGAGGAGGAAGGCGUUGUGGUUAAUAACCACAGCGAUUGACGUUACUCGCAGAAGAAGCACCGGCUAACUCCGUGCCAGCAGCCGCGGUAAUACA
RNAcentral lists this ribosomal RNA (529 nucleotides) under bacterium enrichment culture clone jdg006. RNAcentral describes it as "bacterial SSU rRNA". It matches the Rfam family "Bacterial small subunit ribosomal RNA", at positions 1 to 527 of the family's 1533-position model. The record is from RNAcentral.